This 468-nucleotide ribosomal RNA is filed under the name uncultured bacterium. Its description in RNAcentral is "partial 16S ribosomal RNA". It matches the Rfam family "Bacterial small subunit ribosomal RNA", at positions 28 to 507 of the family's 1533-position model. The record is from RNAcentral.
GACGAACGCUGGCGGCGUGCUUAACACAUGCAAGUCGAACGGAAAGGCCCUGCUUUUGUGGGGUGCUCGAGUGGCGAACGGGUGAGUAACACGUGAGUAACCUGCCCUUGACUUUGGGAUAACUUCAGGAAACUGGGGCUAAUACCGGAUAGGAGCCCCUGCGGCAUGGUGGGGGUUGGAAAGUUUCGGCGGUUGGGGAUGGACUCGCGGCUUAUCAGCUUGUUGGUGGGGUAGUGGCUUACCAAGGCUUUGACGGGUAGCCGGCCUGAGAGGGUGACCGGCCACAUUGGGACUGAGAUACGGCCCAGACUCCUACGGGAGGCAGCAGUGGGGAAUAUUGCACAAUGGGCGGAAGCCUGAUGCAGCAACGCCGCGUGCGGGAUGACGGCCUUCGGGUUGUAAACCGCUUUCGCCUGUGACGAAGCGUGAGUGACGGUAAUGGGUAAAGAAGCACCGGCUAACUACGUG